GGCAUUAUGUGUUCUGUAGGUGACCUGCGGCAGGUCAUUAUCAUGUAAAUUCAGUCAUGCUUGCCGCGUGAGCUGCGAUACACCCACACUGCGUACACCUCUCCUGUUGCUUGCCGUAGGUGACCGAGAAUAAUCUGUGCCCGGCGGAAAAUGAACCCCAAGUCAUACGAAUAGAAUCUGUCUGAACAAACGAAGAAACCAAAUGGAAUGUUAAAACUUUCAGCAACGGAUCUCUUGGUUCUCGCAUCGAUGAAGAACGCAGCGAAAUGCGAUAAGUAGUGUGAAUUGCAGAAUUUAGUGAAUCAUCGAAUCUUUGAACGCACAUUGCGCCUCCCGGUAUUCCGGGGGGCAUGCCUGUUCGAGAGUCAUUGACAACCACAUCGAAUCCCCCCGCUUCAGUCCUCUCGAGGGGCUUUGGGGAGGGGGGAGGAUCGGUUCUGGUGGAAGAGGGGAACGAGUUGCCUCGCUACCGUAGGCUUGGCAAAAUCCCCUCCCCGCCGAAAUUCUUACGCGGUCUGUGCCAAACCCACAUGCCUUAUACUUGUGCGCGUCGUAGAGGAAGGCCCCUCACAAUUCUGGAGGAGCCACUUUUCGCGUGUGUAUAAUGAAUGCUGGUUUCGGGACCACGGACUAGCCAGCCAUCCAAAGAAGGAAUAAGAAUCCCCCGUAGGUUUUUAUCACCGAAUCAAUGGUUGACCUCGGAUCAGGUAGGGAUACCCGCUGAACUUUAAGCAUAUCAAUAAGCGGAGGAAAAGAAACCCACCGGGAUUGCCUCAGUAACUGCGAGUGAAGUGGCAAAAGCUCAAAUUUGAAAUCCGGUACUUCUGGGUGCCUGACUUGUAAUUUGGAGAGACAAAUUUGGUUGACACUGUGCCGGCCCAGGUUCUUUUGAACAGGACACACAGAGGGUGAGAAUCCCGUGCACGGUCGGACUUGCUGUCGCAUUGCUAAAUUGUCUUCGACGAGUCGAGUUUUUUGGGAUGCAGCUCAAAAUGGUGGUAAUUGUCAUCUAAAGCUAAUAUUGGCGAAAGACCGAUAGCGCACAGUGAGUGAUCGAAGAUGAAAGCACUUUGAAAGAGAGUCAAAA
RNAcentral lists this ribosomal RNA (1087 nucleotides) under uncultured Genea. RNAcentral describes it as "eukaryotic LSU rRNA". The stretch from base 694 to 1087 matches the Rfam family "Eukaryotic large subunit ribosomal RNA", at positions 1 to 393 of the family's 3401-position model. Lineage: Eukaryota; Fungi; Ascomycota; Pezizomycetes; Pezizales; Pyronemataceae. The record is from RNAcentral.